Molecule: ribosomal RNA, 759 nt
Filed under: Parahaemophilus parainfluenzae
Lineage: Bacteria; Pseudomonadati; Pseudomonadota; Gammaproteobacteria; Pasteurellales; Pasteurellaceae
Description: Haemophilus parainfluenzae bacterial SSU rRNA
Rfam family: Bacterial small subunit ribosomal RNA
Source: RNAcentral
AUUGAACGCUGGCGGCAGGCUUAACACAUGCAAGUCGAACGGUAACAUAAAGAAGCUUGCUUCUUUGAUGACGAGUGGCGGACGGGUGAGUAAUGCUUGGGAAUCUAGCUUAUGGAGGGGGAUAACUACGGGAAACUGUAGCUAAUACCGCGUAAUAUCGAAAGAUUAAAGUGUGGGACCUUCGGGCCACAUGCCAUAGGAUGAGCCCAAGUGGGAUUAGGUAGUUGGUGAGGUAAAGGCUCACCAAGCCGACGAUCUCUAGCUGGUCUGAGAGGAUGACCAGCCACACUGGGACUGAGACACGGCCCAGACUCCUACGGGAGGCAGCAGUGGGGAAUAUUGCGCAAUGGGGGCAACCCUGACGCAGCCAUGCCGCGUGAAUGAAGAAGGCCUUCGGGUUGUAAAGUUCUUUCGGUAGUGAGGAAGGCAUUUAGUUUAAUAGACUAGGUGAUUGACGUUAACUACAGAAGAAGCACCGGCUAACUCCGUGCCAGCAGCCGCGGUAAUACGGAGGGUGCGAGCGUUAAUCGGAAUAACUGGGCGUAAAGGGCACGCAGGCGGUGACUUAAGUGAGGUGUGAAAGCCCCGGGCUUAACCUGGGAAUUGCAUUUCAUACUGGGUCGCUAGAGUACUUUAGGGAGGGGUAGAAUUCCACGUGUAGCGGUGAAAUGCGUAGAGAUGUGGAGGAAUACCGAAGGCGAAGGCAGCCCCUUGGGAAUGUACUGACGCUCAUGUGCGAAAGCGUGGGGAGCAAACAGG